UACGAAGGGGGCUAGCGUUGUUCGGAAUUACUGGGCGUAAAGCGCACGUAGGCGGACUUGUAAGUCAGGGGUGAAAUCCCGGGGCUCAACCUCGGAACUGCCUUUGAUACUGCAAGUCUCGAGUCCGGAAGAGGUGAGUGGAAUUCCUAGUGUAGAGGUGAAAUUCGUAGAUAUUAGGAAGAACACCAGUGGCGAAGGCGGCUCACUGGUCCGGUACUGACGAUGAGGUGCGAAAGCGUGGGGAGCAAACAGG
RNAcentral lists this ribosomal RNA (253 nucleotides) under uncultured bacterium. RNAcentral describes it as "partial 16S ribosomal RNA". It matches the Rfam family "Bacterial small subunit ribosomal RNA", at positions 524 to 776 of the family's 1533-position model. The record is from RNAcentral.